GAUGAACGCUGGCGGCGUGCCUAAUACAUGCAAGUCGAGCGAACGGACGAGAAGCUUGCUUCUCUGAUGUUAGCGGCGGACGGGUGAGUAACACGUGGAUAACCUACCUAUAAGACUGGGAUAACUUCGGGAAACCGGAGCUAAUCCCGGAUAAUAUUAUGAACCGCAUGGUUGAAAAGUGAAAGACGGUCUUGCUGUCACUUAUAGAUGGAUCCGCGCUGCAUUAGCUAGUUGGUAAGGUAACGGCUUACCAAGGCAACGAUGCAUAGCCGACCUGUGAGGGUGAUCGGCCACACUGGAACUGAGACACGGUCCAGACUCCUACGGGAGGCAGCAGUCGGCAAUCUUCCGCAAUGGGCGAAAGCCUUACGGAGCAACGCCGCGUGAGUGAUGACGGUCUUCGGAUCGUAAAACUCUGUUAUUAGGUAAGAACAUAUGUGUAAGUAACUGUGCACAUCUUGACGGUACCUAAUCAGAAAGCCACGGCUAACUACGUG
RNAcentral lists this ribosomal RNA (497 nucleotides) under uncultured bacterium. RNAcentral's name for it is "partial 16S ribosomal RNA". It matches the Rfam family "Bacterial small subunit ribosomal RNA", at positions 28 to 507 of the family's 1533-position model. The record is from RNAcentral.